CUGAGGCGGGCGGGGCCGGGCGGGGCGGUGCGCGCUGCGGCAGCGCCACCUCGCGGCGGGAGGCGCGGGAGGGGGCGGCCCGGCCGCCAUUUGCAGCGCCGCGGGGGCCGUGAGGGGACGGCGGGCGUUCCGGGCCCGCGCCCCCACACCGGGUCACACUACGGCAUGGGCCCUGCAGUACGACUGCCGUCUUAGGACUUGAUGAAGCCAGCCUUUCCUUCGGGAUAACGAUGUGGAACGGCAGCUCAUCCCGGGCUGCAAGUAGGCGUGCAGGAGGAGCAGGACACCGGAACACACUUGGCUCGAUGGACUGAGGCAGUAUGCGAAUUUAGGAGAAGAUGAGCUUGCUUUCUCUUCCAAUUAUGUAUUUUACACCCUAUAAAGCUUUAGGAACAAAUAAGCAAUCAGCGGGAUAAAAUGACUGCACCAGCAGACAUGGAAGGCUAAGGCAGCAGCUGCUUGGGAGCCACCCGCACCCUUCUCCAGCACAGACAACUUCACAUAAAAGUGCGGAGGAUGCAUCCAUCCCUGAUCCUGGCCAGUAGCGAGCGGUCACCCCAGUGUGACAGGUGAGAGCUGCUAUUGUUCCCCCUCGGGAAAACAAAUCCCACCAUCCCUUCUCACUGAAACGUAGCUGCACAUCUAGGAAAACAUUCAGGCAGGUACACGAGCAAGGUUUGUUGAGACCCACAGACCAAAAUCACAUGCCUUAAUUUACUAGACAUAUGUGAAGUACAUUUUUAAGUUUUUUACAGAUGUUGUACAGCAAAGGGCUUCUGCUCAUGCCUUAGUUAGGAAAAUGAAGUAACAAGGGUUUUAGCUAUAUAACAGGCACCCAAAUUACACUUAAUAUCAACAGCCCUGUAACUACAACUGGAUAGUGUGUUAAGGACACAAUUCUGCAGCUGACUGCUUGGGCAGAGAUUCACAUUCAAGAACAGAUCCUGUGAAGUCCACAUGGUUGUCUAUAGAUAUAGGGCUCUUCCCAUGCAGAAAUGACAGCAGAAUUGAGACCUUAAAAGAUUGGGGCCUCAGAUAGUUUCCUCGUGAGACAGCACUGACCAGUUUACAUUGGCAGGGCAAGCCCCAGCGCAACAGCACACUUAGUUGAAACAACUGCUAUUUUUUCAUGCCUUUCUGCAGUAACUCUCCUCCCUAUCUAUAUAUUCCUUUCACUUCCUUCUGGACUGUGGAGACAAGCAGAUUCCCAAGACCUAAACAAGUACUUGUCUUCAGUAUGAUGCUAAACUGAGGGGAUCCAAAUUGGCCUAAAAUUGUAAACAGUGAGGUGUCAGUUUAAGCAAUCUCAUUCAAGUCAGAUUCUUGCAUUACUCUCCUCUUCCUCUUUUAUUCUUUGCUCUCCUUGCCAAUUAUCUAUGUCUAUGUAUAUAUUUAUCUUCCUCAAAGGACUCCUUCUUCCCUGUAGGUGUCUGAACUUCAAGAAGUUUGUGUUCCAAAAGUGACUCACGACGGAUAGCAGACUAUCAAACUAACAAAUUAUAUCUGUAUGACAAUUUUCAGCAUCAUGAGUUAAAUCACUGUAAUUUCUCAAUUAACAUUAUGUUAGCAUCUCUAUAGAUAUUUAGUUAAGCCUAUUCUUUCUACCUUUCUCUCAGUCUUCAACUGUGAGUUUAGCUAUCUUCACCAUGUUACAGUGGCAGAUAUACACACCAGAGUAAUUAUCUGAAGAUCUAGAAAGCCAGUCCGAGUCUUGUAGUGCUGCAAAGGCAAAACACUAGCACUAACAAAUGAUUUUGCUCUUUAUGGAUUUAGGUGUAUGUUGCCAAAAAUAUGAGAUUUAUGCACUAAGAUAAAUUUACAUUUCUCAUCUUGUGCUUAGCAGCUAAAACUAGAAAGGUGAACAAGAGCCUAUCUGGAUUUCACAAAGGUCCAAGAUACCUUCUCUCUCACUAAAAAUGAAAGCACCUGAUCACAAGGAACAAAUCCCUUCUAUGCUCAGGUGGCCUACAAUACUGAAGCAGCAAUAUUCUCCUCUGUGCAGGUCCAUUAUUUUUAAUAUCUACAAAUUAUUUUUUUUCCAUGUAAGUGGUUUUAUUACAGUAUUCCCAAAGCUGCUGGCCUUCCACUGCACCUCCCAACUUGAAAUGGAUUUGGUACAAUUAGUAGCAGGCCUGCAGAUAAUGCUGAAAGUGAUUUCUAGUUAGAACACCUUGGGCUUUCAAACAGCACAGCAUGGAAAUGGAGAAUUGUCAGAAAAGACAUAAAAUGUUACUACAAAAAGCUGCUUAGCAAAAAACCAAACAACCCAAAAACAUUUCUUCUCCAACACAAGUAGUACACUACUUUUUCACUCUGUCCAUGCAGGACCAAAAAAAAAAAAAAAAAAAAAGCAAGCAGAAUUCAGAUUAUCUGAA
Poecile atricapillus (Black-capped chickadee) is the source of this 2375-nucleotide long non-coding RNA. RefSeq lists it as uncharacterized. The transcript has 2 exons. The record is from RefSeq and is a predicted model, not a curated record. Lineage: Eukaryota; Metazoa; Chordata; Aves; Passeriformes; Paridae.